UUGAAAAUUCAUGUUUCAACUUCAUGGAUCUCUUGGUGGGUCAAGUUUAGGAAUAUACCAACCUGGAGGACUCCAAGCUGUUGAGCUAUCCAAAA
Molecule: microRNA precursor, 95 nt
Filed under: Monodelphis domestica (gray short-tailed opossum)
Lineage: Eukaryota; Metazoa; Chordata; Mammalia; Didelphimorphia; Didelphidae
Description: mir-490 microRNA precursor family
Rfam family: mir-490 microRNA precursor family
Source: Rfam by way of RNAcentral